GAUGAAGAACGCAGCGAAAUGCGAUACGUAAUGUGAAUUGCAAAUUCAGUGAAUCAUCGAGUCUUUGAACGCACAUUGCGCCCCCUGGUAUUCCGGGGGGCAUGCCUGUCCGAGCGUCAUUGCUGCCCUCAAGCACGGCUUGUGUGUUGGGCCCCGUCCUCCGAUCCCCGGGGACGGGCCCGAAAGGCAGCGGCGGCACCGCGUCCGGUCCUCGAGCGUAUGGGGCUUUGUCACCCGCUCUGUAGGCCCGGCCGGCGCUUGCCGAUCAACCCAAAUUUUUAUCCAGGUUGACCUCGGAUCAGGUAGGGAUACCCGCUGAACUUAAGCAUAUCAAUAAGCGGAGGA
RNAcentral lists this unclassified non-coding RNA (345 nucleotides) under soil metagenome. RNAcentral describes it as "partial contains 5.8S ribosomal RNA, internal transcribed spacer 2, and large subunit ribosomal RNA". The stretch from base 1 to 119 matches the Rfam family "5.8S ribosomal RNA", at positions 35 to 154 of the family's 154-position model. The record is from RNAcentral.